RNAcentral lists this long non-coding RNA (913 nucleotides) under Numida meleagris (helmeted guineafowl). RNAcentral describes it as "lncRNA (ENSNMEG00000011743.1)". Lineage: Eukaryota; Metazoa; Chordata; Aves; Galliformes; Numididae. The record is from RNAcentral.
GUGCAGUAUAGUUGAGAAUAUGCUUCUGCAGCUUGGAAAAUGAGCAGGAACACCAACUCACUCAACUAUUAUCGUAUGUAAAACAUCUUUGUAUUUGCAAUUACUGGGAGAAGUGACAGGACAGUACCCAACUGGGAAAACUGGAAGCUGCUGAAAUUAAUUAAGUGUUCCCAUGUGUAGUCCUGCAGAUCCAGCCUAGGAAGGAACAUUGUUUGAAUUGGGAAUGAGGGAAGAGAGAAAAGAGUGGCUGUGCAGGGCGUACUGCAGGUGUAUCCCAACAAGAAUGCUUGGCUUGAAGGAUGUGAAAUGUUCCACGAAGCCAACAAGCUAGUAUCAUCAGCAAGCAGUAUUCCAGUGUUCAGAUACACACAGCCACAACUACACCAGCAGCAGUGCAAACAGGUAUACACAAAUGGGUGCUUAAGUCCUCCUGCAGUAUGCUUCCUUGCCUGCCUGCAGCACUUCAGAGCUUGUGCAUAUAGGAUUGCAGCCCACAGCUCCCAGCUCACUGAAGUCUCCUGGUCACCACGCUGGACUACACCGGAACAGCAUUAAUUGAGAACUGAGACGGGAAUCACAGAAAGGAAGACAGCUGUCUAACCCUUUUUACUGCACAUAGACUAUAUGGCUAUAAUUUAUAUAAGCAGACCUUAAACUGAAGCCUGGAUCUCCUUCUUCCGGUGUGAGCACUAUGGUAAGAACAAUGCUUCAGCCAAAAGCAGAGUGCUACAGGAGACGUGGAGGAUUUUCCUUUCUUUCAGCAGCCCAUUGACUGCUCCUAAUUAGUCCCUAGCACAACAGUUUCGUCACUUGCUCAUGAAGGGACUGUAAAUUCCCUGAAGCCAUGUUGAAUCAGGAUCCUGCUUUUGAGAAAAAAAAUAAAAAAAUAAUAAAAAAAUAAAGUCCUUUAAUG